Molecule: long non-coding RNA, 276 nt
Filed under: Cicer arietinum (chickpea)
Lineage: Eukaryota; Viridiplantae; Streptophyta; Magnoliopsida; Fabales; Fabaceae
Description: long non-coding RNA (CARI_LNC000434)
Source: RNAcentral
GGUAGAGUAUGGUUCAUAGUGUUGUGAUGGGAUAGGCAUGUUUGAGGUUGAUGGUUGUGAUGGGUUGAUAGUGUUGUGUUGUGAAGUAGGACCACUUUCAAAUGUAAUGUAUAACUCAAUGGUGCCAAGUUGUGACCAUUGUGCAUAAACAUCAAACAUGAGUUCAACAUCGUCGUCAUCACAAACCUUCAUCAAUUCAAAUCUGGUUGUAUUUUCACCAAAGAAAACAAGGUGUCGAUAAACUAUAUCAGUUAUCGUCACGUUGUCGUCGAACUG